GUCGAGCGGUACAGGGGUAGCUUGCUACCCGCUGACGAGCGGCGGACGGGUGAGUAAUGCAUAGGAAUCUGCCCGAUAGUGGGGGAUAACCUGGGGAAACCCAGGCUAAUACCGCAUACGUCCUACGGGAGAAAGGGGGCUUCGGCUCCCGCUAUUGGAUGAGCCUAUGUCGGAUUAGCUAGUUGGUAAGGUAAUGGCUUACCAAGGCAACGAUCCGUAGCUGGUCUGAGAGGAUGAUCAGCCACAUCGGGACUGAGACACGGCCCGAACUCCUACGGGAGGCAGCAGUGGGGAAUAUUGGACAAUGGGGGCAACCCUGAUCCAGCCAUGCCGCGUGUGUGAAGAAGGCCCUCGGGUUGUAAAGCACUUUCAGCGAGGAAGAACGCCUAUCGGUUAAUACCCGGUAGGAAAGACAUCACUCGCAGAAGAAGCACCGGCUAACUCCGUGCCAGCAGCCGCGGUAAUACGGAGGGUGCAAGCGUUAAUCGGAAUUACUGGGCGUAAAGCGCGCGUAGGUGGCUUGAUAAGCCGGUUGUGAAAGCCCCGGGCUCAACCUGGGAACGGCAUCCGGAACUGUCAGGCUAGAGUGCAGGAGAGGAAGGUAGAAUUCCCGGUGUAGCGGUGAAAUGCGUAGAGAUCGGGAGGAAUACCAGUGGCGAAGGCGGCCUUCUGGACUGACACUGACACUGAGGUGCGAAAGCGUGGGUAGC
This 710-nucleotide ribosomal RNA is filed under the name uncultured bacterium. RNAcentral describes it as "bacterial SSU rRNA". It matches the Rfam family "Bacterial small subunit ribosomal RNA", at positions 61 to 769 of the family's 1533-position model. The record is from RNAcentral.